UGGGUUGUGGCUCAGUGGUAGAGUGCUUAUUUUGCAUACAUGAGGCACUGGGUUCCAUCCUCAGCACUACAU
This 72-nucleotide transfer RNA is filed under the name Ictidomys tridecemlineatus (thirteen-lined ground squirrel). RNAcentral describes it as "Spermophilus tridecemlineatus (thirteen-lined ground squirrel) tRNA". It matches the Rfam family "tRNA". From Rfam's summary of the family: Transfer RNA (tRNA) molecules are approximately 80 nucleotides in length. The record is from Rfam by way of RNAcentral. Lineage: Eukaryota; Metazoa; Chordata; Mammalia; Rodentia; Sciuridae.